Molecule: non-coding RNA, 72 nt
Organism: Podarcis lilfordi (Lilford's wall lizard)
Lineage: Eukaryota; Metazoa; Chordata; Lepidosauria; Squamata; Lacertidae
Source: the annotation of a GenBank genome assembly
GUCUGAGAUGGCUCAACUGGUAGAGCAGGGGACUCAAUCUCAGGGUCGUGGGUUCGAGCCCCGCUUUGGGCA